Molecule: ribosomal RNA, 2922 nt
Filed under: Bacillus thuringiensis
Lineage: Bacteria; Bacillati; Bacillota; Bacilli; Caryophanales; Bacillaceae
Description: 23S ribosomal RNA
Rfam family: Bacterial large subunit ribosomal RNA
Source: RNAcentral
UUUGGUUAAGUUAGAAAGGGCGCACGGUGGAUGCCUUGACACUAGGAGUCGAUGAAGGACGGGACUAACGCCGAUAUGCUUCGGGGAGCUGUAAGUAAGCUUUGAUCCGAAGAUUUCCGAAUGGGGAAACCCACCAUACGUAAUGGUAUGGUAUCCUUAUCUGAAUACAUAGGGUAAGGAAGACAGACCCAGGGAACUGAAACAUCUAAGUACCUGGAGGAAGAGAAAGCAAAUGCGAUUUCCUGAGUAGCGAGCGAAACGGAACAUAGCCCAAACCAAGAGGCUUGCCUCUUGGGGUUGUAGGACAUUCUAUACGGAGUUACAAAGGAACGAGGUAGACGAAGCGACCUGGAAAGGUCCGUCGUAGAGGGUAACAACCCCGUAGUCGAAACUUCGUUCUCUCUUGAAUGUAUCCUGAGUACGGCGGAACACGUGAAAUUCCGUCGGAAUCUGGGAGGACCAUCUCCCAAGGCUAAAUACUCCCUAGUGAUCGAUAGUGAACCAGUACCGUGAGGGAAAGGUGAAAAGCACCCCGGAAGGGGAGUGAAAGAGAUCCUGAAACCGUGUGCCUACAAAUAGUCAGAGCCCGUUAACGGGUGAUGGCGUGCCUUUUGUAGAAUGAACCGGCGAGUUACGAUCCCGUGCGAGGUUAAGCUGAAGAGGCGGAGCCGCAGCGAAAGCGAGUCUGAAUAGGGCGUUUAGUACGUGGUCGUAGACCCGAAACCAGGUGAUCUACCCAUGUCCAGGGUGAAGUUCAGGUAACACUGAAUGGAGGCCCGAACCCACGCACGUUGAAAAGUGCGGGGAUGAGGUGUGGGUAGCGGAGAAAUUCCAAUCGAACCUGGAGAUAGCUGGUUCUCCCCGAAAUAGCUUUAGGGCUAGCCUUAAGUGUAAGAGUCUUGGAGGUAGAGCACUGAUUGGACUAGGGGUCCUCAUCGGAUUACCGAAUUCAGUCAAACUCCGAAUGCCAAUGACUUAUCCUUAGGAGUCAGACUGCGAGUGAUAAGAUCCGUAGUCAAAGGGAAACAGCCCAGACCGCCAGCUAAGGUCCCAAAGUGUGUAUUAAGUGGAAAAGGAUGUGGAGUUGCUUAGACAACUAGGAUGUUGGCUUAGAAGCAGCCACCAUUUAAAGAGUGCGUAAUAGCUCACUAGUCGAGUGACUCUGCGCCGAAAAUGUACCGGGGCUAAAUACACCACCGAAGCUGCGGAUUGAUACCAAUGGUAUCAGUGGUAGGGGAGCGUUCUAAGGACAGUGAAGUCAGACCGGAAGGACUGGUGGAGUGCUUAGAAGUGAGAAUGCCGGUAUGAGUAGCGAAAGACGGGUGAGAAUCCCGUCCACCGAAUGCCUAAGGUUUCCUGAGGAAGGCUCGUCCGCUCAGGGUUAGUCAGGACCUAAGCCGAGGCCGACAGGCGUAGGCGAUGGACAACAGGUUGAUAUUCCUGUACCACCUCUUUAUCGUUUGAGCAAUGGAGGGACGCAGAAGGAUAGAAGAAGCGUGCGAUUGGUUGUGCACGUCCAAGCAGUUAGGCUGAUAAGUAGGCAAAUCCGCUUAUCGUGAAGGCUGAGCUGUGAUGGGGAAGCUCCUUAUGGAGCGAAGUCUUUGAUUCCCCGCUGCCAAGAAAAGCUUCUAGCGAGAUAAAAGGUGCCUGUACCGCAAACCGACACAGGUAGGCGAGGAGAGAAUCCUAAGGUGUGCGAGAGAACUCUGGUUAAGGAACUCGGCAAAAUGACCCCGUAACUUCGGGAGAAGGGUGCUUUCUUAACGGAAAGCCGCAGUGAAUAGGCCCAAGCGACUGUUUAGCAAAAACACAGCUCUCUGCGAAGCCGUAAGGCGAAGUAUAGGGGGUGACACCUGCCCGGUGCUGGAAGGUUAAGGAGAGGGGUUAGCGUAAGCGAAGCUCUGAACUGAAGCCCCAGUAAACGGCGGCCGUAACUAUAACGGUCCUAAGGUAGCGAAAUUCCUUGUCGGGUAAGUUCCGACCCGCACGAAAGGUGUAACGAUUUGGGCACUGUCUCAACCAGAGACUCGGUGAAAUUAUAGUACCUGUGAAGAUGCAGGUUACCCGCGACAGGACGGAAAGACCCCGUGGAGCUUUACUGUAGCCUGAUAUUGAAUUUUGGUACAGUUUGUACAGGAUAGGCGGGAGCCAUUGAAACCGGAGCGCUAGCUUCGGUGGAGGCGCUGGUGGGAUACCGCCCUGACUGUAUUGAAAUUCUAACCUACGGGUCUUAUCGACCCGGGAGACAGUGUCAGGUGGGCAGUUUGACUGGGGCGGUCGCCUCCUAAAGUGUAACGGAGGCGCCCAAAGGUUCCCUCAGAAUGGUUGGAAAUCAUUCGUAGAGUGCAAAGGCAUAAGGGAGCUUGACUGCGAGACCUACAAGUCGAGCAGGGACGAAAGUCGGGCUUAGUGAUCCGGUGGUUCCGCAUGGAAGGGCCAUCGCUCAACGGAUAAAAGCUACCCCGGGGAUAACAGGCUUAUCUCCCCCAAGAGUCCACAUCGACGGGGAGGUUUGGCACCUCGAUGUCGGCUCAUCGCAUCCUGGGGCUGUAGUCGGUCCCAAGGGUUGGGCUGUUCGCCCAUUAAAGCGGUACGCGAGCUGGGUUCAGAACGUCGUGAGACAGUUCGGUCCCUAUCCGUCGUGGGCGUAGGAAAUUUGAGAGGAGCUGUCCUUAGUACGAGAGGACCGGGAUGGACGCACCGCUGGUGUACCAGUUGUUCUGCCAAGGGCAUAGCUGGGUAGCUAUGUGCGGAAGGGAUAAGUGCUGAAAGCAUCUAAGCAUGAAGCCCCUCAAGAUGAGAUUUCCCAUAGCGUAAGCUAGUAAGAUCCCUGAAAGAUGAUCAGGUUGAUAGGUUCGAGGUGGAAGCAUGGUGACAUGUGGAGCUGACGAAUACUAAUAGAUCGAGGACUUAACCAUAUAA